GCCUUGUUAGCUCAGUGGCAGAGCAGCGGUCUCGUAAAUCGCAGACGGAAGUUCGAUCCCUCCACGAGGCACCA
This 74-nucleotide transfer RNA is filed under the name Patescibacteria group bacterium. RNAcentral describes it as "tRNA-Thr". It matches the Rfam family "tRNA". Rfam says of the family: Transfer RNA (tRNA) molecules are approximately 80 nucleotides in length. The record is from RNAcentral.